Transfer RNA from Felis catus (domestic cat), 85 nucleotides. It matches the Rfam family "tRNA". Rfam says of the family: Transfer RNA (tRNA) molecules are approximately 80 nucleotides in length. Their secondary structure includes four short double-helical elements and three loops (D, anti-codon, and T loops). Further hydrogen bonds mediate the characteristic L-shaped molecular structure. tRNAs have two regions of fundamental functional importance: the anti-codon, which is responsible for specific mRNA codon recognition, and the 3' end, to which the tRNAs corresponding amino acid is attached (by aminoacyl-tRNA synthetases). tRNAs cope with the degeneracy of the genetic code in two manners: having more than one tRNA (with a specific anti-codon) for a particular amino acid; and 'wobble' base-pairing, i.e. permitting non-standard base-pairing at the 3rd anti-codon position. Lineage: Eukaryota; Metazoa; Chordata; Mammalia; Carnivora; Felidae. The record is from Rfam.
GCCUGGGUGGCUCAGUCAGUUAAGCGUCUGACUUCAGCUCAGGUCAUGAUCUCAUAAUUUGUGGGUUUGAGCCCCACAUCGGGCU